UACGUAGGGGUCUAGCGUUGUCCGGAAUUAUUGGGCGUAAAGAGCUCGUAGGCGGUUCGGCAAGUCGGAUGUGAAAUCUCCACGCUUAACGUGGAGGGGCCAUUCGAAACUGCCGUGACUCGAGUCCGGUAGGGGAGUUCGGAAUUCCCGGUGUAGUGGUGAAAUGCGUAGAUAUCGGGAGGAACACCAGUGGCGAAGGCGACUUCCUGGCCUGUUCUUGACGCUGAGGCGCGAAAGCUAGGGGAGCAAACGGG
This 254-nucleotide ribosomal RNA is filed under the name uncultured bacterium. RNAcentral's name for it is "partial 16S ribosomal RNA". It matches the Rfam family "Bacterial small subunit ribosomal RNA", at positions 524 to 776 of the family's 1533-position model. The record is from RNAcentral.